AGGAUAAACGCUGGCGGCGUGCCUAACACAUGCAAGUCGAACGUCCUACGCAAGUAGGGAGUGGCGGACGGGUGAGUAACACGUGGGCAAUCUACCUUUCGGUGAGGAAUACCGGCGAGAAAUCGCCGACAAUACCGCAUACGUUUCGCAAGAAACAAAGUCGCAAGACGCCGGAGGAGGAGCCUGCGCCCGAUUAGCUGGUUGGUGAGGUAACAGCUCACCAAGGCUUCGAUCGGUAGC
This 240-nucleotide ribosomal RNA is filed under the name uncultured bacterium. RNAcentral's name for it is "partial small subunit ribosomal RNA". It matches the Rfam family "Bacterial small subunit ribosomal RNA", at positions 26 to 287 of the family's 1533-position model. The record is from RNAcentral.